This is a long non-coding RNA of Musa acuminata AAA Group (dessert banana), 1274 nucleotides long. RefSeq lists it as uncharacterized. The transcript has 4 exons. Lineage: Eukaryota; Viridiplantae; Streptophyta; Magnoliopsida; Zingiberales; Musaceae. The record is from RefSeq and is a predicted model, not a curated record.
GAGAUGAAAGGAUCUAAACAUUUUGAAUCGUGACAUGUCCUUUUCUGAUUCAGGCAUGUAGUAGUACCAUAUCAUGGCUGUAUGUUUCCAGAACCACCGUGAUCCGAGAAUUCUUUGUGGCUCUGUGCCCAUCCACUGACCAUUGCUGGCUUGGAUGUGCCCCCCGAGCCAUGAUAGGAAGAAGUGAAUUUUCAAGUGCUGCAAAUCUGAAACAUCAUCAGAUUACCUGAUAAGAAGAGGUUGCGGUGCCGAAGAGGAAAGUGGAAGUGAAAUCGCUCCGACUGAAGCAUGCGACCGAGGAAAGCAGUUGGAAGAAGAGGGUGAUUGCCAAGGUCUUCUUGUUGAUCCCCAUCCUCCAAAAACCGACCACCUCUCCUUCAGCUCUCCUCCCUGAGAGAGGAUGAAGUUUCAGCUCUUGUGGAGUUCGACCAGGUAAGAAGCAAUCAGGUAUCAAUCCCCGGGGUCCACUCCAUUAUUUCUUAUUCUACUUGGCCAUUGUUAACAUCACAUCUCGCAUGGGUCGCGUGGUGGUUGAAGGUAUAUAUAUAUAAUAUGUGUGUACAACGAUAACCGCAAACAAGUCCAAAGAUGCGCGGUACGAAACCAUGCGCGUCACACGUCUUCUCCAAAUGAAAGGCCACAGGAAUAGAAAUCGAGAGUGAUGGUUUUAGAGGGACUCGUUGCUCUGCACAUCUACUCCGUGAGUGUCUUUCUCAUAUGGAAUUUGUUUCCACAGCAAGUAUUGAUCGACUUUUCAAGUUGCGUGCACUCCCAACUCUCAAUCCUUCACCCCCGUUUAUUUACUUGUUGACAUGUGGUCUGUUGAAUCGAGUGUCGAUAUCCCGUCUUUUUUUGCCCUAAAGAAAAAGAACACGUGUAUGUCGUACCAAUCAUAUCGUGGAUUGAAGAUGGAGUAGGAAUUUGGUGGUCUGCCUAUUGGACCACAGCAGCUGAGCGGCACUUGAUGCGUCGGUGGCGGGAGCGGGCCCCAGUCGUUUGACCUGUAUCCGCCUCCCAUCGUAAGGCAAGUGGACAAGACGGGCGAAUAUAAAACGGGUCGGAUCUACCUCGAGAAUGUGAUGGAACUGUGGAACCAAAUGCCGAACCGCAGGUUUGUUCGAAGGAUUAUUAUGGUGAUACUGAUCUGAUGUGUUUUUGGAGUGGAUUGAUGAAGAUGCAGAGUGCCCAUAUUGUGAAGGACUGGGCUACACCAUUUGUUUGAUGUUUGUGAUGUUAACUUUACUGCACUAUUUUCAUAUCAAAAGUUUUCGCAG